UUCGUAGGUGGUGCGGCAAGUUGGGAGUGAAAUCUCUGUGCUUAACUCAGAGGCUGCUUUCAAAACUGCCGUGCUCGAGUGCGAGAGAGGCCAGUGGAAUUGCAGGUGUAGCGGUGAAAUGCGUAGAUAUCUGCAGGAACACCCGUGGCGAAGGCGGCUGGCUGGAUCGCAACUGACACUGAGGAACGAAAGCUAGGGGAGCAAACAGGAUUAGAUACCCUGGUAGUCCUAGCCCUAAACCAUCAGAACUUGGGGUGGCUCGCGUAGGCGGGUCGUCCCGUAGCUAACGCGUUAAGUUCUGCGCCUGGGGAGUACGGUCGCAAGACUGAA
Molecule: ribosomal RNA, 330 nt
Filed under: uncultured bacterium
Lineage: Bacteria
Description: bacterial SSU rRNA
Rfam family: Bacterial small subunit ribosomal RNA
Source: RNAcentral